Dromiciops gliroides (monito del monte) is the source of this 102-nucleotide small nuclear RNA. The record is from RefSeq and is a predicted model, not a curated record. NCBI's taxonomy places the organism in Eukaryota, Metazoa, Chordata, Mammalia, Microbiotheria, Microbiotheriidae.
CUGUAGCACUGUAGCACUUCUACAAUUGAAACAGUAUCGAGAAGAUUAGCAUGGCCCUUGCAUAAAAUUGGUAUGCAAAUUAAUGAAGUAUUCCACAUUUUU